GUCUAAGUACACAUGGGUGUUACAGCGAAACUGCGAAUGGCUCAUUAAAUCAGUUAUGGCUCCUUUGGUCGCUCCCACCGUUCCUUGGAUAACUGUGGUAAUUCUAGAGCUAAUGCACAAAAGGGGGGUGGGGAGAGGAAAAAAAGAAAGCACUGGUCCUAACUAGUAAGUGUUUCAAUGUGUUUUGCUUGGGAGCCUUUUUCCAACAAUUGUUCAGAUAUUUCCAAGCUUUUGUGUGUGGGAUUUAGGAGCCUGCCUUUACAAAAACGAG
This is a non-coding RNA of Podarcis lilfordi (Lilford's wall lizard), 271 nucleotides long. The record is from the annotation of a GenBank genome assembly. Lineage: Eukaryota; Metazoa; Chordata; Lepidosauria; Squamata; Lacertidae.